AUACGGAGGAUCCGAGCGUUAUCCGGAUUUAUUGGGUUUAAAGGGUGCUCAGGCGGGGGAUUAAGUCGGCGGUGAAAUUUUGCAGCUCAACUGUAAAAGUGCCUUCGAAACUGGUUUCCUUGAGUGUGGAUGAGGUAGGCGGAAUUUGUGGUGUAGCGGUGAAAUGCAUAGAUAUCACGAGGAACUCCGAUUGCGCAGGCAGCUUACUAAACCAUAACUGACGCUCAAGCACGAAGGCGUGGGGAUCAAACAGGAUUAGAUACCCUGGUAGUCCACGCAGUAAACGAUGAUUACUGGCUGUUUGCGAUAUAAUGUAAGCGGCUGAGCGAAAGCGUUAAGUAAUCCACCUGGGGAGUACGUUCGCAAGAAUGAAACUCAAAUGAAUUGACGGGG
Molecule: ribosomal RNA, 393 nt
Filed under: uncultured bacterium
Lineage: Bacteria
Description: partial 16S ribosomal RNA
Rfam family: Bacterial small subunit ribosomal RNA
Source: RNAcentral